RNAcentral lists this long non-coding RNA (380 nucleotides) under Arabidopsis lyrata. Its description in RNAcentral is "long non-coding RNA (ALYR_LNC001755)". Lineage: Eukaryota; Viridiplantae; Streptophyta; Magnoliopsida; Brassicales; Brassicaceae. The record is from RNAcentral.
CACCACCAACAUACAACACAGGCUUCUUAGACUCCGAAAUCAACCUAACAAUCUGCUCCAAAUGAGAAUCUUCCGGAGGUUUAGGCAUCCUAGACAUAUAACCAGGUAAUCUCAUAGCCUGUUCCCAAUUAGGAAUCGCAAGCUGUUGUUGAAUAUCUUUAGGAACAUCAACCAAAACAGGUCCAGGUCUACCAGAAGUAGCUAAAAAGAAAGCUUCCUCAAUAAUCCUAGGAAUAUCUUCAACAUCCAUCACAAGAUAGUUAUGCUUCGUAAUCGAACGCGUAACCUCAACAAUCGGAGUUUCUUGAAACGCAUCAGUACCAAUCAUCCUACGAGGGACUUGACCUGUGAUUGCUACAAGAGGAACACUAUCUAACAAG